Molecule: ribosomal RNA, 490 nt
Filed under: uncultured bacterium
Lineage: Bacteria
Description: partial 16S ribosomal RNA
Rfam family: Bacterial small subunit ribosomal RNA
Source: RNAcentral
AGUGAACGCUGGCGGUAGGCCUAACACAUGCAAGUCGAACGGCAGCACAGUAAGAGCUUGCUCUUACGGGUGGCGAGUGGCGGACGGGUGAGGAAUACAUCGGAAUCUACUUUUUCGUGGGGGAUAACGUAGGGAAACUUACGCUAAUACCGCAUACGACCUACGGGUGAAAGCAGGGGAUCUUCGGACCUUGCGCGAUUGAAUGAGCCGAUGUCGGAUUAGCUAGUUGGCGGGGUAAAGGCCCACCAAGGCGACGAUCCGUAGCUGGUCUGAGAGGAUGAGCAGCCACACUGGAACUGAGACACGGUCCAGACUCCUACGGGAGGCAGCAGGGGGGAAUACUGGACAAUGGGCGCAAGCCUGAUCCAGCCAUACCGCGUGGGUGAAGAAGGCCUUCGGGUUGUAAAGCCCUUUUGUUGGGAAAGAAAGCAGCAGGUUAAUACCCCGCUGUUCUGACGGUACCCAAAGAAUAAGCACCGGCUAACUUCGU